This 358-nucleotide ribosomal RNA is filed under the name Protonemura alcazaba. RNAcentral describes it as "partial 12S ribosomal RNA". Lineage: Eukaryota; Metazoa; Arthropoda; Insecta; Plecoptera; Nemouridae. The record is from RNAcentral.
UUUAAAUGUAAAUUAUAUAAACUUGAGUAGUAUUAGUUAUGUUCUUGAAACUCAAAGAAUUUGGCGGUGUUUUAGUCUGUUCAGAGGAACCUGUCCCGUAAUCGAUAUUCCACGUUAAACCUUACUUAUUUUUGUUACCAGCUUGUAUACCGCCGUCGUCAGAAUGUCCUAAGAAGGGUUUAAUUUUCUUAAAUUUUUAUUAAAAAUGAUGUCAGGUCAAGGUGUAGCUUACGAAUAAGUGGUGAUGGGUUACAAUAAACAUAUUUAUAACGGAUAAAAUUUUGAAAUAAAUUUUUGAAGGUGGAUUUGACGGUAAUUAACUUAAUUAAAUUAAUUUGAUUUUAGCUCUAAAACAUGC